This 468-nucleotide ribosomal RNA is filed under the name uncultured bacterium. Its description in RNAcentral is "partial 16S ribosomal RNA". It matches the Rfam family "Bacterial small subunit ribosomal RNA", at positions 28 to 507 of the family's 1533-position model. The record is from RNAcentral.
GACGAACGCUGGCGGCGUGCUUAACACAUGCAAGCCGAACGGAAAGACCCUGCUCUUGUGGGGUGCUCGAGUGGCGAACGGGUGAGUAACACGUGAGUAACCUGCCCUUGACUUUGGGAUAACUUCAGGCAACUGGGGCUAUUACCGGAUAGGAGCUCCUGCUGCAUGGUGGGGGUUGGAAAGUUUCGGCGGUUGGGGAUGGACUCGCGGCUUAUCAGCUUGUUGGGUGGGUAGUGGCUUACCGAGGCUUUGACGGGUAGCCGGCCUGAGAGGGUGACCGGCCACAUUGGGACUGAGAUACGGCCCAGACUCCUACGGGAGGCAGCAGUGGGGAAUAUUGCACAAUGGGCGGAAGCCUGAUGCAGCAACGCCGCGUGCGGGAUAACGGCCUUCGGGUUGUAAACCGCUUUCGCCUGUGACGAAGCGUGAGUGACGGUAAUGGGUAAAGAAGCACCGGCUAACUACGGG